UACGUAGGGGGCAAGCGUUGUCCGGAAUCAUUGGGCGUAAAGAGCGUGUAGGCGGCCCGAUUAGUCCGCUGUGAAAGUCCAGGGCUCAACCCUGGAAUGCCGGUGGAUACUGUCGGGCUAGAGUCCGGAAGGGGCGAGUGGAAUUCCUGGUGUAGCGGUGAAAUGCGUAGAGAUGUGGAGGAACACCGAUGGCGAAGGCAGCCUUCUGGGCCAACACUGACGCUCAUGCACGAAAGCGUGGGGAGCAAACAGG
Molecule: ribosomal RNA, 253 nt
Filed under: uncultured bacterium
Lineage: Bacteria
Description: partial 16S ribosomal RNA
Rfam family: Bacterial small subunit ribosomal RNA
Source: RNAcentral